UAGUCAGCUGGGCUAAAGAAAAAUAUGUAUUAUAAAGAUUACCUUAAUUACUGAAAACACAUCCUGGAGUAUUUCUGCUUUCGUGAAACGAACAGCCAAUAAAAAGUUUCUGGAUUUUGAAAGGCCCAAUUCACUAUGGUAUUGUAGUCCAUAGAGAAAAGAAGCCCCUGGCAUUUCCUUCUUUAUCAUAAUUAUGUUGCAUUUCAAUUAUUAUUCUAAUUAAUCAUUAAACAGGCACUUCAGGCUUUGCUAUGAUGGUAGAAUUGAUUUCCACAUUGCUUUGAUGUCCCAUGAACAUGACCUCGUCAGUGUAACUCUAACCUUGAGAUGCCUCUUCGUUUCCUUUUAGUAACUAGACACUAAAUCUCUCAGACACAUUCUGGAAUCCAAUGCUCUAUAUGUCUAAUGUGUUAGAAGCUCCAUUAGGAUGUAACAAGAUUUUAGCCACAUUCCCCGCAGCACUUUGGGGUACUGCUGCUUCAUGAGAUUUUUCUCUAAAGUAACCUUUCAAAGUCAGCCACAAAACCUCUUAUUCUAGAUCAUACUGGCAUCUGACCUUUGUAAACUUACAAGAAAAAAUAGGAAAAAGGAAGAUGCUAAGGGAGACACAGUUAUCUUUUUCAAAAUGCAGCUAAACCCACAAGCUACAGAGAUAUCAUGACCUAUAAAGUUCAGAGCUGUGUUGAUUCUUUCUAACAAUUACCCACAGCUAUUAUGAUUUCCUCCCAUCACUAAAACUGUCAUUGCUAAGAUUAUUGCCCCAGUUUGAGAAGGUAGAAGAUUUAACACGUAACUAAUAUGCAAAGGAUAGAGAGAAGAAGGGGAGAGGUUGAUAUGAUCCCUGUCCUUUCACACUGUUAAUAUGCCAGGUGAUAAAAUGUCUCAUUCACUCCGAAACAUUAUCACUAUACAGGCACUCCUUACAGUGUUUGUUCUCAUAUAUGUCUUCGUAUUUUUUUUCCUUUUAAAGUGGCUCUGAGAAACGGCU
This 988-nucleotide long non-coding RNA is filed under the name Homo sapiens (human). Its description in RNAcentral is "HSALNT0086381". The record is from RNAcentral. Lineage: Eukaryota; Metazoa; Chordata; Mammalia; Primates; Hominidae.